ACAACUAUAACUUAAAAUUCAAA
RNAcentral lists this small nuclear RNA (23 nucleotides) under Arabidopsis thaliana (thale cress). RNAcentral describes it as "snRNA_10275". The record is from RNAcentral. Lineage: Eukaryota; Viridiplantae; Streptophyta; Magnoliopsida; Brassicales; Brassicaceae.